GACGAACGCUGGCGGCGUGCUUAACACAUGCAAGUCGAACGGAGAUAAUAGUAAUAUUAUCUUAGUGGCGGACGGGUGAGUAACGCGUGGGCAACUUGCCUCAGACUGGGGGAUAACACAGGGAAACUUGUGCUAAUACCGCAUAACAUCAUGAGAUGACAUCUUCUUAUGAUCAAAGGAGAAAUCCGGUUUGAGAUGGGCCCGCGUCCGAUUAGCUAGUUGGUAGUGUAAUGGACUACCAAGGCGACGAUCGGUAGCCGAACUGAGAGGUUGAUCGGCCACAUUGGGACUGAGACACGGCCCAGACUCCUACGGGAGGCAG
Molecule: ribosomal RNA, 322 nt
Filed under: uncultured Bacillota bacterium
Lineage: Bacteria; Bacillati; Bacillota
Description: bacterial SSU rRNA
Rfam family: Bacterial small subunit ribosomal RNA
Source: RNAcentral